This is a long non-coding RNA of Phyllostomus discolor (pale spear-nosed bat), 322 nucleotides long. RefSeq lists it as uncharacterized. NCBI's taxonomy places the organism in Eukaryota, Metazoa, Chordata, Mammalia, Chiroptera, Phyllostomidae. The transcript has 2 exons. The record is from RefSeq and is a predicted model, not a curated record.
CAGAACCAGGGGCUGAGUCAAAGCCGCACACAGCCUGGACCAAACCCCGGUGGGGCUCGGGUCUGCCUUGCAGACCACUGGGCCCUUGGGCUCAGGGCACCUCUGCAGAUGGCAGAGACCUAGGUUGCCAGGACUGUGCCAUCAGCCAGGUGAUUGCAGUUCACAGGUUUGUUACACCUGAAAUGAAUCAGAAAAGGUUCUUCUUAAACCUUCUCUUCUGUUGGGGUAAACUGAACAAUGUGUGUGUUGAUCUCCCUUGGCAGUAAGCUUCCGUUGAACAAGCUAUCUGCAAACUACUCCCUGAGAUGCCGUCAGCUACAGG